RNAcentral lists this transfer RNA (72 nucleotides) under Rhipicephalus microplus (southern cattle tick). Its description in RNAcentral is "tRNA-Glu". It matches the Rfam family "tRNA". Rfam says of the family: Transfer RNA (tRNA) molecules are approximately 80 nucleotides in length. Their secondary structure includes four short double-helical elements and three loops (D, anti-codon, and T loops). The record is from Rfam by way of RNAcentral. Lineage: Eukaryota; Metazoa; Arthropoda; Arachnida; Ixodida; Ixodidae.
ACCGGCGUGGUCUAGUGGCUAGGAUACCUGACUUUCACCCAGGAGGCCCGGGUUCGAUUCCCGGCGUCGGAG